CCUACGGGUGGCAGCAGUGAGGAAUAUUGGUCAAUGGACGAGAGUCUGAACCAGCCAAGUAGCGUGAAGGAUGACUGCCAUAUGGGUUGUAAACUUCUUUUAUAUGGGAAUAAAACGUUCCACGUGUGGGAUUUUGUAUGUACCAUAUGAAUAAGGAUCGGCUAACUCCGUGCCAGCAGCCGCGGUAAUACGGAGGAUCCGAGCGUUAUCCGGAUUUAUUGGGUUUAAAGGGAGCGUAGGUGGAUUGUUAAGUCAGUUGUGAAAGUUUGCGGCUCAACCGUAAAAUUGCAGUUGAAACUGGCAGUCUUGAGUACAGUAGAGGUGGGCGGAAUUCGUGGUGUAGCGGUGAAAUGCUUAGAUAUCACGAAGAACUCCGAUUGCGAAGGCAGUUCACUGGACUGCAACUGACACUGAGGCUCGAAAGUGUGGGUAUCAAACAGGAUUAGAUACCCCAGUAGUC
This 460-nucleotide ribosomal RNA is filed under the name uncultured bacterium. RNAcentral's name for it is "partial 16S ribosomal RNA". It matches the Rfam family "Bacterial small subunit ribosomal RNA", at positions 338 to 795 of the family's 1533-position model. The record is from RNAcentral.